GUCACAAGAACAAGCAGAAGGACGCCUCUUUCCAUCUCUUCUUCGCUCGGGCAAUGGAAGGGGAAGCCGCUUCUCGACCUCCGAGGCCGUUCAUGGGGGUGAAGGCCCGCCGCGGAGCCUCCUUCCGCCGGGACGUCAAGGGUGAUUACCUCGACGUCCCCUCCGACCCCUUCCUCUCCGCCAUCUUGUCCAAGCAAGGAGAUGAGACACUUCUAUUUGCUGACAAGGUCUUGAAGUGUACAGGCACUGGAAAGAUGAAGCGGUGUAUAUUAAUGAUUACGGGUUCUGCUAUCUAUCUUGUUGAUCCAGAUGCUGAUGUAUUGAAACGACGAAUUAUGCUUGCAUCUAUCGAUAAGAUAUGUUUGAGCAAGCUGAGUGAUAACUUCUUUGCGGUCAUUGUUCCAAGUGAAUAUGAUUGUCUUAUGGCCAGCACCAGGAAAACAGAAAUUGUUACUGUCCUCGUUGAAGCUUCCAAAAUCAGAUCAGAAUAUGAGAUUGGAGUGGUUUUCUCCAAUAGGCUGUGAAGUCAAGCGAAAAGAUCAUUGUUUACCAAGUGUUCUACUUUAUCACAGAGCUCAUAUUAGAUAUUCUUUGAAGAUUCAGGUUCGAGUAUCGUGCUGCUGCUGACAUGGUGAAGGAAGUUCGGUUUGCGGAAGUAGACGGGGGCAUUAAAACAAGGAUCGUGAAGAAAUAUCGUUGACAUUUGAGUUUGACUAGCACCCUGAAAGCGGCCUUGUACUAGAUUAGACUUGUCUUGUGUGCCUUUAUGCAAUUUCACAUGUUGCCGUAAAGGCUGUAAUCAAGUUAACUCGGUUUAAAUUGUUGCAGAUGCUUCCUCGA
Molecule: RNA transcript, 840 nt
Organism: Musa acuminata AAA Group (dessert banana)
Lineage: Eukaryota; Viridiplantae; Streptophyta; Magnoliopsida; Zingiberales; Musaceae
Exons: 5
Source: RefSeq, a predicted model, not a curated record